UAUACAUGCAAGUCGAACGAACUUCCGUUAAUUGAUUAUGACGUACUUGUACUGAUUGAGAUUUUAACACGAAGUGAGUGGCGAACGGGUGAGUAACACGUGGGUAACCUGCCCAGAAGUAGGGGAUAACACCUGGAAACAGAUGCUAAUACCGUAUAACAGAGAAAACCGCAUGGUUUUCUUUUAAAAGAUGGCUCUGCUAUCACUUCUGGAUGGACCCGCGGCGUAUUAGCUAGUUGGUGAGGUAAAGGCUCACCAAGGCAGUGAUACGUAGCCGACCUGAGAGGGUAAUCGGCCACAUUGGGACUGAGACACGGCCCAGACUCCUACGGGAGGCAGCAGUAGGGAAUCUUCCACAAUGGACGCAAGUCUGAUGGAGCAACGCCGCGUGAGUGAAGAAGGGUUUCGGCUCGUAAAGCUCUGUUGUUAAAGAAGAACGUGGGUAAGAGUAACUGUUUACCCAGUGACGGUAUUUAACCAGAAAGCCACGGCUAACUACGUGCCAGCAGCCGCGGUAAUACGUAGGUGGCAAGCGUUAUCCGGAUUUAUUGGGCGUAAAGCGAGCGCAGGCGGUCUUUUAAGUCUAAUGUGAAAGCCUUCGGCUCAACCGAAGAAGUGCAUUGGAAACUGGGAGACUUGAGUGCAGAAGAGGACAGUGGAACUCCAUGUGUAGCGGUGAAAUGCGUAGAUAUAUGGAAGAACACCAGUGGCGAAGGCGGCUGUCUGGUCUGCAACUGACGCUGAGGCUCGAAAGCAUGGGUAGCGAACAGGAUUAGAUACCCUGGUAGUCCAUGCCGUAAACGAUGAUUACUAAGUGUUGGAGGGUUUCCGCUCUUCAGUGCUGCAGCUAACGCAUUAAGUAAUCCGCCUGGGGAGUACGACCGCAAGGUUGAAACUCAAAAGAAUUGACGGGGGCCCGCACAAGCGGUGAA
Molecule: ribosomal RNA, 932 nt
Filed under: Pediococcus pentosaceus
Lineage: Bacteria; Bacillati; Bacillota; Bacilli; Lactobacillales; Lactobacillaceae
Description: bacterial SSU rRNA
Rfam family: Bacterial small subunit ribosomal RNA
Source: RNAcentral